UACGUAGGGUGCAAGCGUUAUCCGGAUUUACUGGGUGUAAAGGGGGCGCAGACGGCAGCGCAAGCCAGGAGUGAAAGCCCGGGGCCCAACCCCGGGACUGCUCUUGGAACUGCGCGGCUGGAGUGCAGGAGGGGCAGGCGGAAUUCCUGGUGUAGCGGUGAAAUGCGUAGAUAUAUGGAGGAACACCGGUGGCGAAAGCGGCUCUCUGGCCUGUAACUGACACUGAGGCUCGAAAGCGUGGGGAGCAAACAGG
Molecule: ribosomal RNA, 253 nt
Filed under: uncultured bacterium
Lineage: Bacteria
Description: partial 16S ribosomal RNA
Rfam family: Bacterial small subunit ribosomal RNA
Source: RNAcentral